This 623-nucleotide long non-coding RNA is filed under the name Homo sapiens (human). RNAcentral's name for it is "HSALNT0362350". Lineage: Eukaryota; Metazoa; Chordata; Mammalia; Primates; Hominidae. The record is from RNAcentral.
UGGUUACAUCCGAGGACAGCCCACAAUCAAGGGGAGGGUAGAUAUGUUCUACCUCUUGACAUGUAGUAUGAACAUAAAGCACAGUUGAUUCCUGAGCUGUGAUGACUUUCCACUGACCAUACUACUGCAAUGAUGUUAUUCUGGGCCAAACUUCGGAAUCAAUUCUUGUCUGCUGCCUGAUUCAAUUAUUUUUAAUGCACCCUGUGGAUUUUUACUUGCUAAAGUAGAAAGAAGAUCCCAACAUUUGAUGAGAAAAUAUACAGAAGGCAUAGGUCACAUGUCUGACUCACAGCUGCGAUGUGGUGGAUCCAAAUCUCUCUGAGGCCAAAUACUGCCCAGCUCGAAUGAACGCUAUGCUCCAUGCCUGAAACAACUGCUCCAGCCCUCAGAAAAGAGUCUCCCAUUCAACUGAAGUCUGCAUAUCAGAUUCCCGUGGGAUAAUUCAUAAAGGCUCCUUGAAGUUAAUUCUGGGUAUAUCCUGAAAUAGAGGGUCUCCUCUGUUUUUUCUUCUUUUUUUCCACAACUGAGGAGACACUAGUGCCUACUUAUCUCAAUAAUGGGAUUUCUCUUUGAUGCAAUUGCAGUUUUUACUAGGCCUUUCAAUAAAUAUGUUGAAUAUUUUU